Pelobates cultripes (western spadefoot toad) is the source of this 91-nucleotide non-coding RNA. The record is from the annotation of a GenBank genome assembly. NCBI's taxonomy places the organism in Eukaryota, Metazoa, Chordata, Amphibia, Anura, Pelobatidae.
UAUAGGUAUAUAUGUAUAUGUGUGUGUGUGUGUGUGUGUGUAUAUAUAUAUAUAUACACACACACACACACACAUAAUAAAUAUACAUAUA